GACGAACGCUGGCGGCGUGCUUAACACAUGCAAGUCGAACGGAAAGGCCCUGCUUGCAGGGUACUCGCGUGGCGAACGGGUGAGUAACACGUGGGUGAUCUGCCCUUCACUUCGGGAUAAGCCUGGGAAACUGGGUCUAAUACCGGCUAGGAGCCAUUUUUAGUGUGAUGGUUGGAAAGUUUUUUCGGUGUAGGAUGAGCUCGCGGCCUAUCAGCUUGUUGGUGGGGUAAUGGCCUACCAAGGCGGCGACGGGUAGCCGGCCUGAGAGGGUGGACGGCCAAAUGGGGACGGGGAUACGGCCAAGACUCCUACGGGAGGAGGAAGGGGGGAAAAUGGACAAAUGGGCGAAGCCUGAUGCAGCGACGCCGCGGGGGGGAUGACGGCCUUCGGGUUGUAAACGCCUUUCGCUAGGGACGAAGCUUUUUGUGACGGUACCUAGAUAAGAAGCACCGGCUAACUACGUG
RNAcentral lists this ribosomal RNA (464 nucleotides) under uncultured bacterium. RNAcentral describes it as "partial 16S ribosomal RNA". It matches the Rfam family "Bacterial small subunit ribosomal RNA", at positions 28 to 507 of the family's 1533-position model. The record is from RNAcentral.